RNAcentral lists this unclassified non-coding RNA (339 nucleotides) under soil metagenome. RNAcentral's name for it is "partial contains 5.8S ribosomal RNA, internal transcribed spacer 2, and large subunit ribosomal RNA". The stretch from base 1 to 120 matches the Rfam family "5.8S ribosomal RNA", at positions 35 to 154 of the family's 154-position model. The record is from RNAcentral.
GAUGAAGAACGUAGUGAAAUGCGAUACGUAGUGUGAAUUGCAGAAUUCAGUGAAUCAUCGAAUCUUUGAACGCACAUUGCACCUCUCGGUAUUCCGGGAGGUAUGCCUGUUCGAGCGUCAUUUGUACCCUCAAGCUCUGCUUGGUGUUGGGUGUUUGUUCCGCCUCUGUGUGUGAACUCGCCUCAAAACAAUUGGCAGCCGACGUACUUGUUUCGGAGCGCAGCACAUUUUGCGAUCCAGAUCAACGUACAGCGGCAUCCAAGAAGCCUUAUUUAACGCUCUUGACCUCGGAUCAGGUAGGGAUACCCGCUGAACUUAAGCAUAUCAAUAAGCGGAGGA